AUGCAACAAACAUUUACUAAAAGCCUACUCUGUGGUCCUCGCCCUCAAGGAGCACCAGCACCUGGGAAGGGAUGGAAAUGUGACCUUCCCCACCUACAGGUCUGCAUCCUCUUACCUAGUCUCACUCGAGGAGCUUCCCUCCAAGGCAGAGCCUCCCCAGGGACAUUUAGCAAGGGCAGAGGCAAGAGAAGGAUCAAUCCUGAGAGCCAAUACCAGUUCCUGAGGAGAAAAGAGGCUCAAGAUCCCAUUCCACCUGACUGUGAAAAAUGAGCACAAAAUCAGGAGGGCAGAGCCAACAGGAACCAGGCCAGAAACGCUUGAGGACGCCGCAUCUAUGGAAACAGGCGGCUGGCCUUCCACAGUAACUGCUCAGAGGGGACAGGACACUUGGGGACUUGCCAGGUGCUUGUCCCAAAGUAGGGCUGCCCCGUGUAAGGCUCAGAGCCACAGGACGGCCAGCCUGGCUCCCAGAAAUGCAGCCCCUCCUCUGAACUCUGACACCUUGCUGGCCACUCUGCCAUCCCCGACUGUCCUGGACAGAAGGAGCACAGGGACAGGUGGACGGGGGUGAUCACUGGAAGAGAAAUCACAGGUGAUUUCUCCCUCCAUGAGUGCAAGUCUAACUUGAAUUUCCUACCUUUUCUUCAAGAAACAUGCAGAACUUUUGAGUGCUUAAACUUCUUGAAAACAAGUAAGUUGGCGGGGGAAAUGCAUUUCACAUGGGUGCCUUUACAGAGGAAAAGUGCGAUUUAGCCCGCUUUCCAAACCAUUAAACAAGGGCAAAAAAAGAGUGCAGACUGAAGGAAGAACAGCUGCCAUUCUUCGGCUGGUGGUGGAUUCUCUGACAUUUUCUGAACAAGUGCUUCCCUCCCACCUGCGGCAGACCUGGACUGCCUGAGAACAGUCACACCACACGGGCGCUCAGAGAACUAAAACUGGGAUGUGAUCUGAGAGUGUGUUACUGCAAAGCAUUUCCCCAGGGCUCGGUGUAGGCUUCCUAGGGACGGCAAAAGGUCUUUUAUCAGCCGGUGCCUUGGCUGUGUCAAUGGGAGAGGAUGUUUUGUUCGCCUGCAGGACUCUACUCUGUAACUGGGGUAGGCAUACUUCCCAAGAACACAAAACCUCAGGAUAAUAAAAAUAAUAGCACCAUUACUAUUACCUGGAAC
This 1166-nucleotide long non-coding RNA is filed under the name Sus scrofa (pig). RNAcentral describes it as "lncRNA (ENSSSCG00070013972.1)". The record is from RNAcentral. Lineage: Eukaryota; Metazoa; Chordata; Mammalia; Artiodactyla; Suidae.